AACUAACGCUGGCGGCGUGCCUAACACAUGCAAGUCGUGCGCGAAAGGGGCUUCGGCCCCGAGUAGAGCGGCAGACGGGUGAGUAACACGUGGGUAACCUGCCCAGAAGUGGGGGAUAACCUGGGGAAACUCGGGCUAAUACCGCAUACGUUCGCGGGGUUCUGCUCCGCGAGGAAAGCCGGCCUAUGCUUGCAAGCUGGCGCUUUUGGAGGGGCCCGCGGCUGAUUAGCUUGUUGGUGGGGUAAUGGCCUACCAAGGCGACGAUCAGUAGCCGGCCUGAGAGGAUGAUCAGCCACAUUGGGACUGAGACACGGCCCAAACUCCUACGGGAGGCAGCAGUGGGGAAUCUUGCGCAAUGGGCGAAAGCCUGACGCAGCCAUGCCGCGUGAAUGAUGAAGGUCUUAGGAUUGUAAAAUUCUUUCACCGGGGACGAUAAUGACGGUACCCGGAGAAGAAGCCCCGGCUAACUUCGUG
RNAcentral lists this ribosomal RNA (474 nucleotides) under uncultured bacterium. RNAcentral describes it as "bacterial SSU rRNA". It matches the Rfam family "Bacterial small subunit ribosomal RNA", at positions 29 to 507 of the family's 1533-position model. The record is from RNAcentral.